RNAcentral lists this non-coding RNA (30 nucleotides) under Rattus norvegicus (Norway rat). Lineage: Eukaryota; Metazoa; Chordata; Mammalia; Rodentia; Muridae. The record is from RNAcentral.
UAAUCAAAACACACUAUGUGGGGCUGGAGA